RNAcentral lists this ribosomal RNA (1182 nucleotides) under uncultured bacterium. Its description in RNAcentral is "bacterial SSU rRNA". It matches the Rfam family "Bacterial small subunit ribosomal RNA", at positions 164 to 1320 of the family's 1533-position model. The record is from RNAcentral.
UAAUACUGGAUAGAGCGACGGAAUCCGUAAUUGGGUUUUUCGGGAAAGGGAGCUCGUAAGAGCCCUCACUUUGAGAUGAGCCUGCGUCUCAUUAGCUAGUUGGUAGGGUAAUGGCCUACCAAGGCUUUGAUGGGUAGCUGGUCUGAGAGGAUGAUCAGCCACACUGGAACUGAAACACGGUCCAGACUCCUACGGGAGGCAGCAGUGGGGAAUUUUGCGCAAUGGACGAAAGUCUGACGCAGCAACGCCGCGUGAGUGAAGAAGGCCUGCGGGUUGUAAAGCUCUGUCGAGCGGGACGAAAAACUUAUGGGUUAACAGCCCAUGAGCUUGACGGUACCGCUAAAGGAAGCACCGGCUAACUCCGUGCCAGCAGCCGCGGUAAUACGGAGGGCGCUAGCGUUGCUCGGAAUUAUUGGGCGUAAAGGGUAGGUAGGUGGUCUCGUUUUGUCUUAGGUGAAAGCCCAGAGCUUAACUCUGGAAGUGCCUAAGAAACGGCGAGACUGGAGUCCUGGAGAGGGUCGUGGAAUUCCCGGUGUAGCGGUGAAAUGCGUAGAGAUCGGGAGGAACACCAGAGGCGAAGGCGGCGACCCUGGACGGGCACUGACACUCAACUACGAAAGCGUGGGGAGCAAACAGGAUUAGAUACCCUGGUAGUCCACGCUGUAAACGAUGGGUACUAGGUUUGGUGGGUCUUGACCCCUGCUGAGCCGGCGCUAACGCAAUAAGUACCCCGCCUGGGGAGUACGGUCGCAAGACUAAAACUCAAAGGAAUUGACGGGGGCCCGCACAAGCGGUGGAUCAUGUGGUUUAAUUCGAAGCAACGCGAAGAACCUUACCUGGAUUUGACAUCCUCUGACCGUUACAGAGAUGUAAUUUUCGUAGCAAUACGACAGAGAGACAGGUGCUGCAUGGCUGUCGUCAGCUCGUGUGGUGACAUGUUGGGUUAAGUCCCGCAACGAGCGCAACCCUUGUCUUUAGUUGCCAGCAUUCAGUUGGGCACUCUAGAGAGACUGCCGUGGUUAACACGGAGGAAGGUGGGGAUGACGUCAAGUCCUCAUGGCCCUUACAUCCAGGGCGACACACGUGAUACAAUGGUCGGUACAAAGGGCAGCGAAAGGGCAACCUGGAGCUAAUCUCAAAAAACCGAGCUCAGUUCGGAUUGGAGUCUGCAAUUCGACUCCA